AUUGAACGCUGGCGGCAUGCCUUACACAUGCAAGUCGAACGGCAGCACGGGGGCAACCCUGGUGGCGAGUGGCGAACGGGUGAGUAAUGCAUCGGAACGUGCCCAGUAGUGGGGGAGUAACUAGUCGAAAGAUUAGCUAAUACCGCAUACGACCUAUGGGUGAAAGCGGGGGAGUUCGCAAGAACCUCGCGCUAUCGGAGCGGCCGAUGUCUGAUUAGCUAGUUGGCGGGGUAAAAGGCCCACCAAGGCUUCGAUCAGUAGCUGGUCUGAGAGGACGACCAGCCACACUGGGACUGAGACACGGCCCAGACUCCUACGGGAGGCGAGCAGUGGGGAAUUUUGGUACAAUGGGCGCAAGCCUGAUCCAGCCAUGCCGCGUGCGGGAAGAAGGCCUUC
Molecule: ribosomal RNA, 396 nt
Filed under: uncultured bacterium
Lineage: Bacteria
Description: bacterial SSU rRNA
Rfam family: Bacterial small subunit ribosomal RNA
Source: RNAcentral